Oncorhynchus keta (chum salmon) is the source of this 776-nucleotide long non-coding RNA. RefSeq lists it as uncharacterized. The transcript has 7 exons. Lineage: Eukaryota; Metazoa; Chordata; Actinopteri; Salmoniformes; Salmonidae. The record is from RefSeq and is a predicted model, not a curated record.
CGGUGUGGAUUAGUGAGGUGUAGAGCUGUGUUUGAUCUAGGGCUUAUGGGUGUACGGUGUGGAUUAGUGAGGUGUAGAGCUGUAUACGGUGUGGAUUAGUGAGUUGUAGAACUGUGUUUGAUCUAGGGCUUAUGGGUGUACGGUGUGGAUUAGUGAGGUGUAGAGCUGUAUAAGGUGUGGAUUAGUGAGUUGUAGAACUGUGUUUGAUCUAGGGCUUAUGGGUGUACGGUGUGGAUUAGUGAGGUGUAGAGCUGUAUAAGGUGUGGAUUGGUGAGGCGUAGAACUGUGUUUGAUCUAGGGUUUAGGGGUGUACGGUGUGGAUUAGUGAGGUGUAGAGCUGUAUAAGGUGUGGAUUAGUGAGGUGUAGAACUGUGUUUGAUCUAGGGUUUAGGGGUGUACGGUGUGGAUUAGUGAGGUGUAGAGCUGUAUAAGGUGUGGAUUAGUGAGUUGUAGAACUGUGUUUGAUCUAGGGUUUAGGGGUGUACGGUGUGGAUUAGUGAGGUGUAGAGCUGUAUACGGUGUGGAUUAGUGAGUUGUAGAACUGUGUUUGAUCUAGGGUUUAUGGGUGUACGGUGUGGAUUAGUGAGUUGUAGAACUGUGUUUGAUCUAGGGUUUAGGGGUGUACGGUGUGGAUUAGUGAGGUGUAGAGCUGUAUACGGUGUGGAUUAGUGAGGUGUAGAACUGUGUUUGAUCUAGGGUUUAGGGGUGUACGGUGUGGAUUAGUGAGUUGUAGAGCUGUAUACGGUGUGGAUUAGUGAGUUGUAGAACUGUGUUUG